AUAUUUCACACUGGGGUAAACCCUGAUGCAGCGACGCCGCGUGAGCGAAGAAGGCCUNNNGGUCGNACAGCUCUGUCCUAAUGNAAGNAACGGACGGUACCCUAGUAGGAAGCCCCGGCUAACUACGUUCAAUCAGCCGCGGUAAUACGUAGGGGGCGAGCGUUAUCCGGAAUUAUUGGGCGUAAAGGGUGCGUAGGCGGCCUUUUAAGCCAGAUGUGAAAGGCUACGGAUUAACCGUAGUUAGCAUUUGAAACUAAAAGGCUUGAGUGCAGAAGAGGAGAGUGGAAUUCCUAGUGUAGCGGUGAAAUGCGUAGAUAUUAGGAGGAACACCAGUGGCGAAGGAGACUCUCUGGACUGCAACUGACGCUGAGGCACGAAAGCGUGGGGAGCGAACA
RNAcentral lists this ribosomal RNA (395 nucleotides) under uncultured bacterium. Its description in RNAcentral is "partial 16S ribosomal RNA". It matches the Rfam family "Bacterial small subunit ribosomal RNA", at positions 361 to 774 of the family's 1533-position model. The record is from RNAcentral.